UACGUAGGGGGCAAGCGUUGUCCGGAAUUACUGGGCGUAAAGCGUGCGUAGACGGCUAUCUAAGUCGGGUGUGAAAGCCCCGGGCUCAACCUGGGAAUUGCAUUCGAGACUGAAUAGCUAGGGUACGGUAGAGGGAAGCGGAAUUUCCGGUGUAGCGGUGAAAUGCGUAGAUAUCGGAAGGAACAUCAGUGGCGAAAGCGGCUUCCUGGACCAGUACCGACGUUCAGGCACGAAAGCGUGGGGAGCAAACAGG
RNAcentral lists this ribosomal RNA (253 nucleotides) under uncultured bacterium. RNAcentral's name for it is "partial 16S ribosomal RNA". It matches the Rfam family "Bacterial small subunit ribosomal RNA", at positions 524 to 776 of the family's 1533-position model. The record is from RNAcentral.